GACCUUGAAAUACCACCCUUUAAUGUUUGAUGUUCUAACGUGGACCCGUAAUCCGGGUUGCGGACAGUGUCUGGUGGGUAGUUUGACUGGGGCGGUCUCCUCCUAAAGAGUAACGGAGGAGCACGAAGGUUGGCUAAUCCUGGUCGGACAUCAGGAGGUUAGUGCAAUGGCAUAAGCCAGCUUGACUGCGAGCGUGACGGCGCGAGCAGGUGCGAAAGCAGGUCAUAGUGAUCCGGUGGUUCUGAAUGGAAGGGCCAUCGCUCAACGGAUAAAAGGUACUCCGGGGAUAACAGGCUGAUACCGCCCAAGAGUUCAUAUCGACGGCGGUGUUUGGCACCUCGAUGUCGGCUCAUCACAUCCUGGGGCUGAAGUAGGUCCCAAGGGUAUGGCUGUUCGCCAUUUAAAGUGGUACGCGAGCUGGGUUUAGAACGUCGUGAGACAGUUCGGUCCCUAUCUGCCGUGGGCGCUGGAGAACUGAGGGGGGCUGCUCCUAGUACGAGAGGACCGGAGUGGACGCAUCACUGGUGUUCGGGUUGUCAUGCCAAUGGCACUGCCCGGUAGCUAAAUGCGGAAGAGAUAAGUGCUGAAAGCAUCUAAGCACGAAACUUGCCCCGAGAUGAGUUCUCCCUGAGACUUAGAGUCUCCUGAAGGAACGUUGAAGACGACGACGUUGAUAGGCCGGGUGUGUAAGCGCAGCGAUGCGUUGAGCUAACCGGUACUAAUGAACCGUGAGGCUUAACCUU
This 743-nucleotide ribosomal RNA is filed under the name Salmonella enterica subsp. enterica serovar Infantis. RNAcentral's name for it is "partial 23S ribosomal RNA". It matches the Rfam family "Bacterial large subunit ribosomal RNA", at positions 2188 to 2925 of the family's 2925-position model. Lineage: Bacteria; Pseudomonadati; Pseudomonadota; Gammaproteobacteria; Enterobacterales; Enterobacteriaceae. RNAcentral also lists the same sequence under 2 other names. The record is from RNAcentral.